ACGAACGCUGGCGGCGUGCCUAAUACAUGCAAGUUGAGCGCUGAAGGUUGGUACUUGUACCAACUGGAUGAGCAGCGAACGGGUGAGUAACGCGUGGGGAAUCUGCCUUUGAGCGGGGGACAACAUUUGGAAACGAAUGCUAAUACCGCAUAAAAACUUUAAACACAAGUUUUAAGUUUGAAAGAUGCAAUUGCAUCACUCAAAGAUGAUCCCGCGUUGUAUUAGCUGGUUGGUGAGGUAAAGGCUCACCAAGGCGAUGAUACAUAGCCGACCUGAGAGGGUGAUCGGCCACAUUGGGACUGAGACACGGCCCAAACUCCUACGGGAGGCAGCAGUAGGGAAUCUUCGGCAAUGGACGAAAGUCUGACCGAGCAACGCCGCGUGAGUGAAGAAGGUUUUCGGAUCGUAAAACUCUGUUGGUAGAGAAGAACGUUGGUGAGAGUGGAAAGCUCAUCAAGUGACGGUAACUACCCAGAAAGGGACGGCUAACUACGUG
This 496-nucleotide ribosomal RNA is filed under the name uncultured bacterium. RNAcentral describes it as "partial 16S ribosomal RNA". It matches the Rfam family "Bacterial small subunit ribosomal RNA", at positions 29 to 507 of the family's 1533-position model. The record is from RNAcentral.